Sycon ciliatum is the source of this 2080-nucleotide long non-coding RNA. RefSeq lists it as uncharacterized. NCBI's taxonomy places the organism in Eukaryota, Metazoa, Porifera, Calcarea, Leucosolenida, Sycettidae. The transcript is spliced from 5 exons. The record is from RefSeq and is a predicted model, not a curated record.
ACACUUGGCCGUGGCACAGACUGGUGUCAGAGCAGUUUCGACUUCAAUUUUUGUAAGUCAAGGAGCUUUUUGGUCGAAGUCAAUAAUGAAGGGUUCAUGGAGAAAGGUUGUUGUAGAGCGACUAGGCCUUACCCGAUCUACGAGCUGCAUUUCUUGACUGUAUCGUGAGAACAUUGUCAUUCAAGGCUUUGAACUAGCCACGCUUAUCAUGAAUUCCUGUUGAAGAGCAGCUUGGUUUCUUGUUUUUUUUUUACGACUUCUGGACUGUGGCCUUGCAUUUUGAAGAGCUCUGCAUGCAAGGGUAAGAAGCGCCACAAGCUUCGGGCGCAGUGUAUGGAUGCAAGUCGAGCGGCAGAAUUUUUCUAUCUCUACUGUCAAGAGGAAGGGGAACUGAAAACUGGGUCUGGAGAAGUUCACUCGAGGAGCAGCACAUACGUACAUCAGUGCCUUUCCAAGGCCAGUGACCCCAAGUAAAAUUGAUACUGAAUUGUGUCAGCACCUGAUGGUGGUAUGACCUAUUCCUAAAUUAGCCUACUUUGCCUGUUAGUGAACAGUGGAGCAGAACACUACCAAUUCUGUCACAAGCCGUGGCAAGAUAUGGGAUCGUACCGUUGUGCUGAAGGUGUGCGAGCUGGGCUGCAAGGCGGUUGCUGCAGUAGAUCGCUAUGCGGCCCAAGUGAAUGCAUGAUUCACUGUCUGGAUACCAUGUUAUUGGAUAUGAAUGCGCUGUUAGACAUAUUAUUCUGACCUGACAAGUACUGGGUGAAAAAUGAGGAGGCACCGACGUGCGGAUACUGCGGUGAUGAGUUUACACUGACCAAUCGGCGUCAUCGCUGUCGUCUGUGCGGCGACAUAUUUCACGGUGGGGAGUGCGCGCAGAAGGCGGGCCAAUUUGAGGUGUGGGUGUGCACGUUCUGCUUCAAGUACCACACCAUCUACAAGGGCCCCAUGCAGAGCGGUUGUGUUAUGACAUAGUACACUAAGGAUCUGGAGAGGAACCACCAGAGACACUUCUGGCUCUCCAGUGACGGCCGAGAGCUCAUCUGGAAGGAAGUGGAGUCGCGCUCCCGUCUAAGCAACAUAACAGGUUCUACUGUUCAUAACCUCCGCUUGGCUGACGUAACGCGGAUACACGCCAGUGGUCCACCAAGACUGGAAAGUUACGGCCAAUGUUAUGCGUUUCAAGUCAUCACCGCGAACGACCAUUUGUGCUGGAAGCUGCCAACGUCAAGGAUUAUAACAUCUGGACGGAAGGACUCGAGUGUGCUGUGUACGUCAGCCAAGCGCACCGAAACCUUCAGGGACGGCAGCUGGAAGAUCGUGCAAGACGACACGCCAAGCGCUCGCGUGACCACCAUCGGCAGAUGAUAGCGGAUCGAGUGCAAGCGCGCCAAAAAGGAAUGAAGAAGUCUGGCUAGAUACUAGAUAAAAAGGAAUGAAGAAGUCUGGCUAGAUACUAGAUAGCAUAGCCGAACAUGGUCAGGACCUUCUCACAGGUGUGUUUUGAAGGAUUUCGGUCUUCCCAAUGUGAGGAACCGCUAUUCGGUCUUGUAUGAAUUAGGGUGUAGGAAACGUUCCUGGCGAGUCAAUCGACUCGGUUUUCAUUCGAUACAAGUUGAUAGUAGAGAAUCCUAUGGCUUGAUACACACCAGUGGCAACAGCAGUGUCUUUCUUGACUCUUGAGAUGUACCGGUCACAUGCUCAUGCUCCUCUGCAUAAAAAUGAGCUUGUAAGUUAAAAUUGGACAGAGUUUACGAAGUAUUAGGGAGUUUGCGCUGUUGCAAUGCUUCGAGUUGAUUUCUUGGACCCAUCACAGUAACAGCAUUGUUAGCAUUUCAAAGUAAAUUCAUAGUCCGUUCCCCUGGCAUAUUCAGCUGGGUCGUGGUCGUGGUAGUCUUAGGGAAGUGGGUUUGAUUACUUCACCAUAUUGCACUAGACUUUGCUGAACAAUGGUGACAAAAUAAUAAUUUAAUGGUAAUUGGCCUAUAUCUUUUCAGUAAAAUGCAUUUGCUGGUUAAGUUUGUAUUCAUUGCAACCACAAUUUUAGUUGUAAUAUUUUGCCCUUGAUACCAAGUCCAAG